Molecule: ribosomal RNA, 1673 nt
Filed under: Dendrolaelaps sp.
Lineage: Eukaryota; Metazoa; Arthropoda; Arachnida; Mesostigmata; Digamasellidae
Description: SSU rRNA
Rfam family: Eukaryotic small subunit ribosomal RNA
Source: RNAcentral
GCCAUGCAUGUUUAAGUUCAUACCUUUGAAUGGUGAAACCGCGAAUGGCUCAUUAAAUCAGUUAUAAUUUCAUGGGAUGUGAUUUGUUAAUUGGAUAACUGUGGUAAUUCUAGAGCUAAUACAUGCUUAUACGUUCAACUUCGGUUGGAUGUGCUUUUAUUAGUGCAAGCCAAUGUCUCCGGACAGCAGGUGGUGACUCUGAAUAACUUUGCCGAGCAUUACAGCUUCAAGCUGUUGCUAUUCCUUCAAAGUAUCUGCUCUAUCAACUGUCGAUGGUAUAUUAUAUGUUUACCAUGGUUGUAACGGGUAACGGAGAAUUAGGGUUCGAUUCCGGAGAGGGAGCCUGAGAAACGGCUACCACAUCUAAGGAAGGCAGCAGGCGCGUAAAUUACCCAAUCCCGGCACGGGGAGGUAGUGACAAAAAAUAACAAUGCGAGACUCAUUAGAGGCUUCGUAAUUGGAAUGAGUACAUUCUAAAUCCUUUAACGAGGAACUAUUGGAGGGCAAGUCUGGUGCCAGCAGCCGCGGUAAUUCCAGCUCCAAUAGCGUAUAUUAAAAUUGUUGCGUCUAAAAAGCUCGUAGUUUGAAAACUUGCCUUGACUUACAAUUGGGCUCUCGGGUCCGCCGUUUGUUGAGUGCAAAUAUGGGUAACUGUGUUUGCCGGCUUAGCUGCUGGGCAUACUUCGGUUAUCAAAAAUCACUUUGAUUAAAUUAGAGUGCUCAAAGCAAGUGUGUUACUUGGAUAUAAAUGCAUGGAAUGAUAGAAUAUGCUGUUUGUUCUAUUUGUCGGUUUUUGAACGAUAGAAUGAUUGAAAGGAACUGUUGGGGGCAUUCGUAUUGUUGUGAGAGAGGUGAAAUUCUUAGACCACAGCAAGACGAACUACUGCGAAAGCAUUUGCCAAGAAUGUUUUCAUUGAUCAAGAACGAAAGUUAGAGGUUCGAAGGCGAUCAGAUACCGCCCUAGUUCUAACCAUAAACUAUGCCAACUAGCAAUCUGCUUAUAUAUUUUCUAUGAUUAAGUAGGCGGCCACGGGAAACCAAAGUAGGGUUAUGGGGGAAGUAUGGUUGCAAAGCUGAAACUUAAAGGAAUUGACGGAAGGGCACCACCAGGAGUGGAGCCUGCGGCUUAAUUUGACUCAACACGGGAAAACUUACCUGGUCCUGACACUAGAAGGAUUGACAGAUUGAUAGCUCUUUCUUGAUUUGGUGGAUGGUGGUGCAUGGCCGUUCUUAGUUGGUGGAGUGAUUUGUCUGGUUAAUUCCGAUAACGAACGAGACUCUAGCCUAUUAAAUAACACCCAGAAUCUAGCCUUGUGUGGUGUUUCUUAAUGGGAUCAAGUGUUUUUAACGCUUUGAAACAGAGCAAUAACAGGUCUGUGAUGCCCUUAGAUGUUCGGGGCCGCACGCGCGCUACAUUGAAAGACAAAAUGAGCUUUCUAGUCUUUAACAAGACUAGUAAUCUUUGAAUGUUUUUCUUAAUGGGGAUAGGGGAUUGCAAUUGUGCCCCUUGAACGAGGAAUUCCCAGUAAGUGCUAGUCAUUAGCUAGUACUGAUUACGUCCCUGCCCUUUGUACACACCGCCCGUCGCUACUACCGAUUGAAUGGUUUAGUGAGAUCAUCUGAGCUGGUUUACAUGCACUUUGUGGGUGUAAUCUCUGCAAUGAAGAUCAAAC